This 464-nucleotide ribosomal RNA is filed under the name Vreelandella stevensii. Its description in RNAcentral is "partial 16S ribosomal RNA". It matches the Rfam family "Bacterial small subunit ribosomal RNA", at positions 338 to 795 of the family's 1533-position model. The record is from RNAcentral. Lineage: Bacteria; Pseudomonadati; Pseudomonadota; Gammaproteobacteria; Oceanospirillales; Halomonadaceae.
CCUACGGGAGGCAGCAGUGGGGAAUAUUGGACAAUGGGGGGAACCCUGAUCCAGCCAUGCCGCGUGUGUGAAGAAGGCCCUCGGGUUGUAAGCACUUUCAGUGAGGAAGAACGCCUGGUGGUUAAUACCCAUCAGGAAAGACAUCACUCACAGAAGAAGCACCGGCUAACUCCGUGCCAGCAGCCGCGGUAAUACGGAGGGUGCGAGCGUUAAUCGGAAUUACUGGGCGUAAAGCGCGCGUAGGUGGCUUGAUAAGCCGGUUGUGAAAGCCCCGGGCUCAACCUGGGAACGGCAUCCGGAACUGUCAAGCUAGAGUGCAGGAGAGGAAGGUAGAAUUCCCGGUGUAGCGGUGAAAUGCGUAGAGAUCGGGAGGAAUACCAGUGGCGAAGGCGGCCUUCUGGACUGACACUGACACUGAGGUGCGAAAGCGUGGGUAGCAAACAGGAUUAGAUACCCGUGUAGUC